Molecule: ribosomal RNA, 492 nt
Filed under: uncultured bacterium
Lineage: Bacteria
Description: partial 16S ribosomal RNA
Rfam family: Bacterial small subunit ribosomal RNA
Source: RNAcentral
AGUGAACGCUGGCGGUAGGCCUAACACAUGCAAGUCGAACGGCAGCACAGUAAGAGCUUGCUCUUACGGGUGGCGAGUGGCGGACGGGUGAGGAAUACAUCGGAAUCUACUUUUUCGUGGGGGAUAACGUAGGAAAACUUACGCUAAUACCGCAUACGACCUACGGGUGAAAGCAGGGGAUCUUCGGACCUUGCGCGAUUGAAUGAGCCGAUGUCGGAUUAGCUAGUUGGCGGGGUAAAGGCCCACCAAGGCGACGAUCCGUAGCUGGUCUGAGAGGAUGAUCAGCCACACUGGAACUGAGACACGGUCCAGACUCCUACGGGAGGCAGCAGUGGGGAAUAUUGGACAGUGGGCGCAAGCCUGAUCCAGCCAUACCGCGUGGGUGAAGAAGGCCUUCGGGUUGUAAAGCCCUUUUGUUGGGAAAGAAAAGCAGCAGGUUAAUACCCCGCUGCUCUGACGGUACCCAAAGAAUAAGCACCGGCUAACUUCGUG